AUUCAUAUAGUUUAAUUAAAAACUUUUUAUUUUCAUUAAAAAAAAGAAUAUUUAUAUAAUUCUAUGAGUA
This 70-nucleotide transfer RNA is filed under the name Idioscopus sp. 'myrica'. RNAcentral describes it as "tRNA-Glu". The record is from RNAcentral. Lineage: Eukaryota; Metazoa; Arthropoda; Insecta; Hemiptera; Cicadellidae.